RNAcentral lists this ribosomal RNA (509 nucleotides) under uncultured bacterium. RNAcentral's name for it is "bacterial SSU rRNA". It matches the Rfam family "Bacterial small subunit ribosomal RNA", at positions 29 to 518 of the family's 1533-position model. The record is from RNAcentral.
ACGAACGCUGGCGGCAUGCUUAACACAUGCAAGUCGAACGCGAAAGGGACUUCGGUCCUGAGUAAAGUGGCGCACGGGUGAGUAACGCGUAGAUAACCUGUCUUCAUGUCUGGAAUAAUACGCCAAAGGGGUACUAAUACCGGAUAUUCUUGCUUUUCAUAAGUUAUGCAAGCAAAGGUGGCCUCUGCAUAUGCUACUGCAUGAAGAGGGGUCUGCGUACCAUUAGCUAGUAGGUGGGGUAAUGGCCUACCUAGGCGACGAUGGUUAGCGGGUCUGAGAGGAUGAUCCGCCACACUGGCACUGGAACACGGGCCAGACUCCUACGGGAGGCAGCAGUGAGGAAUAUUGCGCAAUGGGGGAAACCCUGACGCAGCGACGCCGCGUGAGUUGAGGAAGGCCUUCGGGUCGUAAAGCUCUGUCAAGAGGAAAGAAGUGUACAAUGGCUAAUACCUGUUGUAUUUGACGGUACCUCUAAAGGAAGCACCGGCUAACUCCGUGCCAGCAGCUGC